RNAcentral lists this ribosomal RNA (405 nucleotides) under bacterium Ellin6068. Its description in RNAcentral is "bacterial SSU rRNA". It matches the Rfam family "Bacterial small subunit ribosomal RNA", at positions 29 to 479 of the family's 1533-position model. The record is from RNAcentral. Lineage: Bacteria; Pseudomonadati; Pseudomonadota; Alphaproteobacteria; Sphingomonadales; Sphingomonadaceae.
AAUGAACGCUGGCGGCAUGCCUAACACAUGCAAGUCGAACGAGACCUUCGGGUCUAGUGGCGCACGGGUGCGUAACGCGUGGGAAUCUGCCCUUGGGUUCGGAAUAACAGUGAGAAAUUACUGCUAAUACCGAAUGAUGACGUAAGUCCAAAGAUUUAUCGCCCAGGGAUGAGCCCGCGUAGGAUUAGCUAGUUGGUGAGGUAAAAGCUCACCAAGGCGACGAUCCUUAGCUGGUCUGAGAGGAUGAUCAGCCACACUGGGACUGAGACACGGCCCAGACUCCUACGGGAGGCAGCAGUGGGGAAUAUUGGACAAUGGGCGAAAGCCUGAUCCAGCAAUGCCGCGUGAGUGAUGAAGGCCUUAGGGUUGUAAAGCUCUUKYRCCCGGGAUGAUAAUGACAGUACC